AAAUUGAAGAGUUUGAUCAUGGCUCAGAUUGAACGCUGGCGGCAGGCCUAACACAUGCAAGUCGAGCGGAAACGAGUUAUCUGAACCUUCGGGGAACGAUAACGGCGUCGAGCGGCGGACGGGUGAGUAAUGCCUAGGAAAUUGCCCUGAUGUGGGGGAUAACCAUUGGAAACGAUGGCUAAUACCGCAUGAUGCCUUUGGGCCAAAGAGGGGGACCUUCGGGCCUCUCGCGUCAGGAUAUGCCUAGGUGGGAUUAGCUAGUUGGUGAGGUAAGGGCUCACCAAGGCGACGAUCCCUAGCUGGUCUGAGAGGAUGAUCAGCCACAC
This 326-nucleotide ribosomal RNA is filed under the name Vibrio parahaemolyticus. Its description in RNAcentral is "bacterial SSU rRNA". It matches the Rfam family "Bacterial small subunit ribosomal RNA", at positions 1 to 313 of the family's 1533-position model. The record is from RNAcentral. Lineage: Bacteria; Pseudomonadati; Pseudomonadota; Gammaproteobacteria; Vibrionales; Vibrionaceae.